UACAGAGGUCUCAAGCGUUGUUCGGAUUCAUUGGGCGUAAAGGGUGCGUAGGCGGCGAGGCAAGUCGGAUGUGAAAUCCCGGGGCUCAACCUCGGAACUGCAUUGGAUACUGCCAUGCUUGAGUACUGGAGAGGAGACUGGAAUUUACGGUGUAGCAGUGAAAUGCGUAGAUAUCGUAAGGAAGACCAGUGGCGAAGGCGAGUCUCUGGACAGUUACUGACGCUGAGGCACGAAGGCCAGGGGAGCAAACGGG
RNAcentral lists this ribosomal RNA (253 nucleotides) under uncultured bacterium. RNAcentral describes it as "partial 16S ribosomal RNA". It matches the Rfam family "Bacterial small subunit ribosomal RNA", at positions 524 to 776 of the family's 1533-position model. The record is from RNAcentral.